Non-coding RNA from Macaca mulatta (Rhesus monkey), 4929 nucleotides. The record is from RefSeq and is a predicted model, not a curated record. NCBI's taxonomy places the organism in Eukaryota, Metazoa, Chordata, Mammalia, Primates, Cercopithecidae.
CCUGACAGUCACUCCAAAUGCAGGAAAACACUGAUCUCACGGAGGAGGGGUGCCUCUGAUGCAAAACACUGAUCUCAUGGAGGAGGGGUGCCUCUGAUGCAGGAAAACACUGAUCUCACGGAGGAGGGGUAGCUCUGAUGCAGGAAAACACUGAUCUCACAGAGGAGGGGUGGCUCUGAUGCAGGAGAACACUGAUUUCACGGAGGAGGGGUGCCUCUGAUGCAAAACACUGAUCUCACGGAGGAGGGGUGCAUCUAAUGCAGGAGAACACUGAUCUCAUGGAGGAGGGGUGCAUCUAAUGCAGGAGAACACUGAUCUCACAGAGGAGGGGUGGCUCUGAUGCAGGAGAACACUGAUCUCACGAGGGAGGGGUGCCUCUGAUGCAGGAAAACACUGAUUUCAUGGAGGAGGUAUGCCUCUCUACCGUAAGUAAAGAAGCACCUCCCAAGAGACAAAAGCAGGAAAUGCCACCAGCUGAGUGACAGACACCAGCUCUGCCUCUGUUCAUCACUGGAAUCUUCCAAGGCAGCUGACUUCGGAGACACCCCACGCCCCUGCAUCCCCCAGGCUGCAUCCCCCAGGCCUGGGUUUUUCAAACUGGCCUUCCGGGGUGUGGUCCUCUCCCUACUCUCUCCCCAGUGGACAUUCUCUCCACAUGCCACCCACCAAGGACAAGGGCCUCCACACUCAACUUGCCGAGGUGUGGAAAACCCCAGGCGGAGGUGAACUAUGUCAGUUACUCCUCCUUUCCCUCCCCCUCUGCUGGAGUUCCCCAACACGGAACUCCCACCAAGUUGGCUGCCCAAAGUGACGUUCUUGUGACGUUCCUGUGAUCCCAUUCCCCAGCCUUAGGGUAGUAACGAUUCUCCCCUCGAUGGGACUGUCAGUGCUGUCUCCAGGGACCCUUCUUGUCCCUAAUAUGCGCUCGGAGCUUCAAUUCCUCCCCCGCAGACGGCUUCCCGGACACAGUGCGUUCCCUUAAUUUUCAAUUGGUAGGAAUUAUGAAGUCAGCACAAUGACUCAGAGACAGGUCCUGCCUUCAAGAAGUAAACACUCAACUACGUGAAGACAAAUACUCAAAUAAUUACGCACCGGUUAGAAAAAGUAGCAAGUUAUGCAAAAAGAUACAAAGUCCCAGGGGACUUCCAAACAGCCCAGGAAGUGGUGCGGGACGGUGGGCUCAGCCCUGAAGGUGUCCGGAAUGGACUGAGCUCACCUGGGGACGCGAGCCGGCCAGGAGUAGUGGGGUGGGCCGGUGAGGUGAGGUCAGAGUCCAGAGGGCCUGGAAGCCAGCUUUCUGGUGAGUCUCCACUCUUAGUAAGGAAAACCCCCGCAGCAAACAAGAGAAGGGAAAAUCACAUUAUGAAAUGAAACCUACAAACACACAAACUACCAAUCCAGUGGCAGUACCUCCAGGUCAGAGCCAAACAGGAAGAUGCCAAGGAGGGCAUGGAAGAACGUCAGGGGGAACCGCGGCUGACUUUGGAGGUCUCUCAGGAGAGGGUCCCACCCAGAGGGAGGAAGGAAGGCACGAAGGGCCAGGUGGGCCACCUGGAGGGCGCUGUGCUAACCCUGCUGAACGGAGGAUUUCAUCAGAGAAGCGCCCGCUCCCACCUUCGAGAAAGGUCACCGCUUGCUGUUUUACAAGACCGCGGUGGGGAGGGACGGGCGCAGAGGCAGUACGACCUCAAGGUGGGAGACGGGGCGGUAGCCUGGCUGGAUUCUGGAUCUGUUCUGGAGGCACAGCCAAAAGGAUUUCCCGGGAAGUCCGAUACAGGCAUGAGUGAAAACACAGAUGAGGACGAUGGGGUUUCUGGCCGAAGGAACUGGACGGACAGGUGCAGUGAACUAAGGUGGCUGGAACUGCAGUGGGUGACACGGCUCUGGGAGACCUGUGGGACGCCGGGUGGAGGCUCUGCAGAGGCAGGGCAGCACGGUGCCCAGGGGAGGGGUCUGGACUGGAGCUGUGGACCAGGAGUCAUCACACUCAGGUGGGUCACAAGCCAGGGGACUGUGAGAUCGCCGAGGGGCCGAGUACAGAUGGAGAGAUCAGGCAGGUUUAGAACAGGAGAAAUGACAGCACCUUUGAGUUGACGGGAAUCCGGGGAGAACGCAAACCUAACGAUGAGGGAGGAUGACUGCCCUGGAGUGGGAAGAGGGAUGGGGACAUGGACCAGUGUGGGGAGAGCAUGCAGGACCCUCAGAGGCAGGGAGGCAGGGGUGUGGUGCAGAGCAGAGGUUCAGGGAAAGGCAGGGGACAGGCAGGGACGCUCUUCCAACCGGUUCAGCUCCAUCAAGCAGGAAUCCAGGCCACCCAUUACACGUGAGGAGGGGGAAGAGGCCUUGGGGGUGAGGGGAGAAGAAAGGCAUGAGCUGGUUGUUUGGGGAGUGGCCCUGAGGACCACCCUGAGGACCACUGUGGCUCAGGGCCUGGAGGAUCAACGCCGUCUGCCCGGUGGAAUGCUUCAUGCAGCUGUACUGAGCUAUGCUCGGCACACGUGACAGCCACCUACAGACCCCAGUGCAGGUGUGGAGCUCACCAGGGUGCUGGUGCAAGGAAGUCAGCGGGCACGGGAGCGGAGGGGUCAGGGUGCGACGCUGGGUGAGAAGGUAGAGGACUUCACGAGUGAGGCAUGGGAUAGCACUGAGAUGCGGCGCCUCAUCCUACCACCUCCCCAAAGACUGAUGAAACACCAGUGAGUCAAGCAGGAGCUCAGAAGGUUUUCUGAAGAAAGAAAGGACAAGAAGUAGAGGCAAAAGCACAAAUCAAUGAAUCAAAAAUUGGAAAAUCCGUAGAACUACAUUUUGAAAACGGUUUCUGGGAACAAAAAUGAUAAAUAGAUAAACUAUUCGCUAACCUAAUCAAGGAAAAAAGAGAGAAAGGACAAAUACUUAAAACAGGAAAUGAAAGGGAAAAGUCACCUCAGAAUCAGAGAAGCUUCACAGUGACACACAAUUGCUUCACAUACCUGUGUAGUGAAGUGUGAAACCCCGGGUAAACGGUGACUCGCAGGGCACAUACAUCGCACCUAACAGCUCCACUUUCAUGGAGGAAAGAAAGCUGUUGACGAGUGGCUCCCUCCAAAGGCAUCAGACCCAGGGGGCUAGGAAGGGGGAUUCCACCAAACCUUGACGGAAUGGAUAACUCCAACGGCAUUUUACACCCUGGGCAUAAGAAGUGAACAACUUCCAAAUUCUUUUUAUAAAGAGAAUGGAACAUUGAUUCUAAACAGAGACCAAAUAGCAGGAAUAUUACAGAUUAAUCUCACCUAUAAGUAUCCGUGUACAGAGUCUUAAGUAAAAUGGUAUCUAGUCCCCCACUCCUCAGGCGUGGGCUGUGCAUGGCGAUGUCUUUCCCACGGGAAGGGAAGAGCAUCUCCGGGUGCGGAGCCUCGAGGAGCGCGGCCUCGCCAGGCCAUCCGGGCAGCACCAUGGGGACAGUGGGCAUCCUGACGCAGUGUGGGGAGAAGGGACUCUACCUCUGUGGCGUUUCUCCCAAAAACUCAUAACCCCAGUCUAAUGGGAGAGCAACACCAAAUUCCAACAGAGAGAGGCAUCCUGCAGACACCUGACCAGCACUCCUCAAAGCUUCCAGCUCACUGAGGAAAGUCUUAAGAAACAGUCUCAGCCAAAAGGACCUAACAAAGAGGACUCUGGUGAAAACUACGGAAACCUGAACAGAAAGAGGACCCCGGUGAAAACUACGGAAACCUGAACAGAAAGAGGACCCCGGUGAAAACUACAGAAGCCUGUACAGAAAGGGGACUCUGGUAAAAACUACAGAAACCUGAACACACGCUUUAUUAAAUAAUGAUGUAUCCAUACCGCUUCAUCAACUGUAACAAGUGUAUCGUAAACAUGUGAGGUGUUAAUAAUUAGGAAAUGUGUGGGGUGUGCAGGACGCCCAGUGUCAUUAUCGUAACUUUCCUGUUAACUUAAAACUGUUCUCUGAAAAUUAAGGUCUAUUAGAAAAAAGGAUUGUCAAGUAGGUAAUUGAACUAUGUCACAUCUGAAAUACAAAAAAUAUGGUCAAUCCAAGUAAAGGACAUGGAAAGAUUUCCAGGUGUGAACCAGAAAUAAAAUCCUAAGCCCCACAACAGACCGAAUGGACCCUGCUCUUGGCCAAGGGGAACCCACAGAAACCUGAAAGACCAGUUCAGGCCCUGACCAGAGGGAGGGGGUCACACAGGCCUCGGUAUUCCCUCCUCCUUUGGAAUUCGGGUACAGCUGACCAGCAUCAACAUUAACACAGAGACAGACCUUAAGACUGACCCAAACUCUUUAUAGCAAUAAGACACCAAAUUCCAACAGCCGCUAGUACAGCAUCACAUGACAGACAGCAGACCCUGAAAGAAAGUAAAGUAUUUGACCCCAAAACGCAUUUCUUCGACAUGUUUUGAAAUGGUCCAGCAAAGCUCUCUCUGGUGGGGAAAUCUACAUUCCGCAGAGAACCCCUUUCCCUCUCCAGUCCUUUCCUGAUCCAGGAGAGAUGAACUGAGAGACCGGCUUGGCUUUUAGCUCUGACUGGAGACAUUUACCAUCUUUUCCUGCUACCUGGGGGCUUCCUCUGCAUAGUAAGAACCUUGGUAUCUUUCUAUGUAAGAACCUUAUCUUAACCCAGUCACUCCUCUCUACUGAUUCCAGCUCUUUAGGUAGUAACUUAAGUCUUUCAACCAAUUGCCAAUCAGGAAAUCUUUGAAUCCACCUAUGACCUGGAAGCCCGACUCGAACUGUCCUACCUUUCUGGACAGAACCAAUGUAUACCUGACAUUUACUGACUGAAGUCUGCCUGUAACUUCUGUUCCCCUAAGAUGUAUAAAAUCAAGCUGUGACCCAAGUACCCUGGGCACAUGUUCUCAGGACCUGGGGCUGUGUUACAGGCUUUGGUUACUCAUAUUCGGCUCAGAAUAAACCUCUUUAAAUAUUUUA